GAGAGGGAGAGAGCGGCUGACGGUGACUUAAGUGUCGCUGAGGAAAGUCCUCCCACCCACCGGUCACGCAGCCGUACACAAGUACGGGUGGCGAGAGUCACGGCUAUGGCACAGAAACGACACGGCCUGUUUUUAGCGAUGAUGCGAUUGAGCCGUAAGGCAA
This 163-nucleotide RNase P RNA is filed under the name Methanomicrobiales archaeon HGW-Methanomicrobiales-5. Its description in RNAcentral is "partial RNase P RNA component". It matches the Rfam family "Archaeal RNase P", at positions 1 to 157 of the family's 288-position model. Rfam says of the family: Ribonuclease P (RNase P) is a ubiquitous endoribonuclease, found in archaea, bacteria and eukarya as well as chloroplasts and mitochondria. The record is from RNAcentral. Lineage: Archaea; Methanobacteriati; Methanobacteriota; Methanomicrobia; Methanomicrobiales.